AGCAGCCGCGGUAAUUCCAGCUCCAAUAGCGUAUAUUAAAGUUGUUGCAGUUAAAAAGCUCGUAGUUGAAUUUCGGGAUCAAUAUGUCGGUCGUGCCUUCGGUACGUACUGGUAUCAUUGGUCUCUCCUUUCUGACGAACCAUGAUGUCAUUAAUUUGGUGUUAUGGGGAGUUAGGACUGUUACUUUGAAAAAUUAGAGUGUUUAAAGCAGGCUUUAGCUUGAAUACAUUAGCAUGGAAUAAUGAAAUAGGACGUUCGAACCUAUUUUGUUGGUUUCUAGGAUCAACGUAAUGAUUAAUAGGGAUAGUUGGGGGCAUUAGUAUUCAAUUGUCAGAGGUGAAAUUCUUGGAUUUAUUGAAGACUAACUACUGCGAAAGCAUUUGCCAAGGAUGUUUUCAUUAAUCAAGAACGAAAGUUAGGGGAUCGAAGACGAUCAGAUACCGUCGUAGU
This 450-nucleotide ribosomal RNA is filed under the name uncultured Glomus. RNAcentral's name for it is "SSU rRNA". It matches the Rfam family "Eukaryotic small subunit ribosomal RNA", at positions 569 to 1024 of the family's 1831-position model. The record is from RNAcentral. Lineage: Eukaryota; Fungi; Glomeromycota; Glomeromycetes; Glomerales; Glomeraceae.